UUAUAAUAAACAAAUGUAGGAAUGCUAUUAGCUCUCUUGAGAAAGCUGAGAAGGAAAUUGGUGUCAAUAUUAAUUCAGGUAAUUUAUGUCUAAUCAUUUAUGCCUUUGUUGAAAUUCCUAAUAAAAAUGUACUUUUUGUUUGCAUGUUAAGACAAAAUUUAUCUCUGGUGAGGCUCUAACUACUUAGUGGGCAAGUGGUUUUAGAUGUGAAGAUAAAGAGCGAAGUGAAGACGAAAAAGAGAUUUAUGCAAUAUAGAACUCAAUGGUAGAACCUAAAAGGCACACACCAAAUAACUUUUUAAGGGGAAGCUAUUGAUAGGUGUAUGGAAUUUAUAUGAUAACGUUGAUACUGCAUGCAACGCGAUGGCGAGUUGCAUUAAGAAAGUAGCAAUGGCAAAAUAUGAGAGGUUUUUGAGAAAUAUAAGUUGGCAAGGAGAGAAGCUAAGAAAGUGGUUAGCUAGGCUCAUGGUAAAUCUUUAGUCAAUUUUUACAAUAGUAGAUGUUCAAGCUAUCACGGCUGAAGGAAAAAAUGGAUAGAGAUCUGAAUCAGGUCAAGUGCAUUAAAAAUAAUAAUCAACAAAUUUUAUCUAGAGAUAGUGAGAUCAGAAAGAGAUGGAGAUGCUAUUUUAAUCAUUAAGCGAAUCAUGAGGAUGACUUUACAGACCUUAAUGUUCCUUUUAAAGAACACCUUAACUACGCUCAUAAAAUCAGGUUUGUUAAAGUGACUAUAAAGAAUAUGAAGAUGUGGAGAGUUUGUGGCUCAGAUGAUAUCCUUAUAAAAGUAAAAAAAUAUAGAAGUGUAAUAAGUUAGUGAUGGAAUUAGUGGGAAGGGAAAGAGGAACUAAAAUGAUGUGGAAAGAAAUAGUAUGAAAAAUUUAUAAUUUUUGAAUAUUGAUG
This 897-nucleotide unclassified non-coding RNA is filed under the name Hevea brasiliensis (rubber tree). The record is from RNAcentral. Lineage: Eukaryota; Viridiplantae; Streptophyta; Magnoliopsida; Malpighiales; Euphorbiaceae.